This 428-nucleotide small RNA is filed under the name Cryptococcus neoformans H99. RNAcentral describes it as "Cryptococcus neoformans var. grubii H99 hypothetical RNA". The record is from RNAcentral. Lineage: Eukaryota; Fungi; Basidiomycota; Tremellomycetes; Tremellales; Cryptococcaceae.
GCAAUAAGUAUCUCAAGAAGACCUUACACGGUCAAUCCUUUCCUUUUUCUUGAUUAUCUUUCCACGAUAGUCAGCAAAGGUACUUAUAUUGCAGUGAGCAGCGGCUAUGCAGAGAGGUAUUGAACGACUCGUUCGCGAGGUACCAUUGACUUGUUUUUCUAUCUGCUUCUUCCAUGUCUACCUCUCUUCCUUCAACACGCCUCUUUUAUUCACGAUCGACGCUCAAUUCGUUAGCGAUCGGACGGGGAAAGGGAGGCAAGAUAUAACACCAGUUAUGACCCAGGGCAUGCACUCUGACUUUAGUCGGUCGGAGAUGAUGUUCAUGGGGCUUGUGAUUUUAGAGUCAUAAGCUGUUGGGUGGACUGGGACAUCGCCUGCAUUGGAUUCAUAGAGUCAAUACAAUUUCGUGAUGUUAAUAAUUUCAUUAU